UGGGGAAUCUUCCGCAAUGGACGAAAGUCUGACGGAGCAACGCCGCGUGUAUGAUGAAGGUCUUCGGAUUGUAAAGUACUGUCAUUGGGGAAGAACGGUUUUCUUGAAAAGAUUGAGAAGACAUGACGGUACCCAAGGAGGAAGCCCCGGCUAACUACGUGCCAGCAGCCGCGGUAAUACGUAGGGGGCAAGCGUUGUCCGGAAUUAUUGGGCGUAAAGGGCGCGUAGGCGGGCCUUUAAGUCCGGUGUGAAAGAUCAGGGCUCAACCCUGAGAGUGCAUCGGAAACUGGAGGCCUUGAGGACAGGAGAGGAAAGUGGAAUUCCACGUGUAGCGGUGAAAUGCGUAGAUAUGUGGAGGAACACCAGUGGCGAAGGCGACUUUCUGGACUGUAACUGACGCUGAGGCGCGAAAGCGUGGGGAGCAAACAGGAUUAGAUACCCUGGUAGUCCACGCCGUAAACGAUGAGUGCUAGGUGUAGAGGGUAUCGACCCCUUCUGUGCCGCAGUUAACACAAUAAGCACUCCGCCUGGGGAGUACGGCCGCAAGGUUGAAACUCAAAUGAAUUGACGGGGUCAUAGCUGUUUCCU
This 588-nucleotide ribosomal RNA is filed under the name uncultured bacterium. Its description in RNAcentral is "partial 16S ribosomal RNA". It matches the Rfam family "Bacterial small subunit ribosomal RNA", at positions 355 to 1375 of the family's 1533-position model. The record is from RNAcentral.